RNAcentral lists this small RNA (511 nucleotides) under Pan troglodytes (chimpanzee). Its description in RNAcentral is "processed transcript". The record is from RNAcentral. Lineage: Eukaryota; Metazoa; Chordata; Mammalia; Primates; Hominidae.
GUAAUCCCAGCACUUUGGGAGGCUGAGGUAGGCGGAUCACUUGAGGUCAGGAGUUUGAGACCAGCUUUGCGAACAUGGUGAAAUCCCGUCUCCACUAAAAUACAAAAAUCAGCCAGGCUAACGGGCAGGAAGGAGAGGAGGUGAAGGUAUAGGAAGGAAGGCUCCAUGGCAACUAUGGCCUGGUCAAGGGACAAGAUGCAUCCCCUCUGCGGCCAGAGGAAGGGGUGCAGCCACGUCUGUAAGAGCAGCAGGAAAAAACCAUGCGACAGCCUGUCUCAAGGCCAAUCCUAGCCCAGCGUGGCGCAGUAGUGGGUCAGGGAGGGCACGGGAACAGCGCGACCCGACAGCCUGGGAAACGGACAGCCGUGUCAGAAGGGCAGGUGCCAGUGGGCAGGAGGCCGGAGAGAAAGCCGCAGCUUCCUUCCACCUCGCGCCGGGCCCGCGGCCGCGCACGGGGACCGCUCCGAGUUCCUCCCGGCGGGAACCCCCCGCCCCAGAACUUUGGUCUCGU